RNAcentral lists this unclassified non-coding RNA (216 nucleotides) under Hevea brasiliensis (rubber tree). Lineage: Eukaryota; Viridiplantae; Streptophyta; Magnoliopsida; Malpighiales; Euphorbiaceae. The record is from RNAcentral.
UUUGUAUGCAAGAGCCAUCCUCCUCAAAUGGCGUCCAUCAAUCUGAUCAAGAUCAUCGCCAGAACUAGUGAUUAUCAUUAACUGAAUCAGUCCAUUAGCAAGUAUGUCACCGGCAUGAGGCCGCCCCUCGUGCAGCUUCAGCACUCGCUCAACAGGAAGGCCUUCCAAUUCAAGAACAUGGGCAGUUCCAGAAGUUGCAGUGAUGCUGAAUCCAAG